AGCAAAUAUUCAAACAAGAGCUUUGAAGGCCAAAGUGGAGCAGGGUUCUAUGUGAACAUGAGUCAGUCGGUCCUAAGUGAUAGGCGACCUCCGUUCUGAAAGGGCAGGCGAUGGCCUCCAUUGCCCUCAACUGAUCGAAGGGGAGUCGGGUUCAGGUCCCGAAUCCGGAGUGGUGGAGACGGGUGCCGCGACGCGCCCAGUGCGGUGACACAACUGAUCCCCUAGAAACUGGUGGGAGCCCCGGGGAGAGUUCCCUUUUCUUUGUGAAGGGCCGGGCGCCCUGGAAUGGGUUCGCCCCGAGAGAGGGUCCCGCCCUGCCUAUCGAAUGGCUUCACCAACCAUUUGAUAGUCUUUAUUUUAGGUGAAAAAAAUUUAUGGCACUCACUGGAUAAGAGUGCCUGAAGUCUAUGCUCA
RNAcentral lists this non-coding RNA (414 nucleotides) under Balearica regulorum gibbericeps (East African grey crowned-crane). RNAcentral's name for it is "Balearica pavonina gibbericeps Eukaryotic large subunit ribosomal RNA". It matches the Rfam family "Eukaryotic large subunit ribosomal RNA", at positions 1462 to 1834 of the family's 3401-position model. Lineage: Eukaryota; Metazoa; Chordata; Aves; Gruiformes; Gruidae. The record is from Rfam by way of RNAcentral.